UUAAGCCAUGCAUGUCUAAGUACAUGCCGAAAUAAGGCGAAACCGCGAAUGGCUCAUUAAAUCAGUUAUGGUUCCUUAGAUCGUUUCUUCCUACUUGGAUAACUGUGGCAAUUCUAGAGCUAAUACAUGCAGUGAGCCUGGAGCCCUUUGGGUAACGGGUGCUUUUAUUAGACCAAGAUCGAUCGGGUUUCGGCCCGUAUUGUGUGGUGACUCUGGAUAACUUUGUGCUGAUCGCAUGGCCACGAGCCGGCGACGUUUCUUUCAAGUGUCUGCCUUAUCAACUUUCGAUGGUAGGUUACUUGCUUACCAUGGUUGUUACGGGUAACGGAGAAUCAGGGUUCGAUUCCGGAGAGGGAGCCUGAGAAACGGCUACCACAUCCAAGGAAGGCAGCAGGCGCGCAAAUUACCCACUCCCGGCACGGGGAGGUAGUGACGAAAAAUAACAAUACGGGACUCUUUUGAGGCCCCGUAAUUGAAAUGAGUACACUCUAAAUCCUUUAACGAGGAUCAAUUGGAGGGCAAGUCUGGUGCCAGCAGCCGCGGUAAUUCCAGCUCCAAUAGCGUAUACUAAAGCUGCUGCGGUUAAAAAGCUCGUAGUUGGAUCUCAGUUCCAGACGAGUAGUGCAUCUACCCGAUGCGACGGCUCGGACUGAACAUCAUGCCGGUUCUUUCUUGGUGCACUUCAUUGUGUGCCUCGAGAUGGCCGGUGCUUUUACUUUGAAAAAAUUAGAGUGCUCAACGCAGGCGAGUCGCCUGAAUAAACUUGCAUGGAAUAAUAGAACAAGACCUCGUUUCUGUUCUGUUGGUUUUUGGAAUACGAGGUAAUGAUUAAGAGGGACGGACGGGGGCAUUCGUAUUGCGGCGCUAGAGGUGAAAUUCUUGGACCGUCGCAAGACGAACUACUGCGAAAGCAUUUGCCAAGAAUGUUUUCAUUGAUCAAGAACGAAAGUCAGAGGUUCGAAGGCGAUCAGAUACCGCCCUAGUUCUGACCAUAAACGAUGCCAACCAGCGAUCCGCCUGAGUUACUCAAAUGACUCGGCGGGCAGCUUCCGGGAAACCAAAGUAUUUGGGUUCCGGGGGAAGUAUGGUUGCAAAGCUGAAACUUAAAGGAAUUGACGGAAGGGCACCACCAGGAGUGGAGCCUGCGGCUUAAUUUGACUCAACACGGGAAAACUUACCCGGCCCGGACACUGGGAGGAUUGACAGAUUGAGAGCUCUUUCUUGAUUCGGUGGAUGGUGGUGCAUGGCCGUUCUUAGUUGGUGGAGCGAUUUGUCUGGUUAAUUCCGAUAACGAACGAGACUCUAGCCUAUUAAAUAGGUGCGGGGUUCCCAGCACCUUACAACCUUCUUAGAGGGACAAGCGGCUCCUAGCCGCACGAAACAGAGCAAUAACAGGUCUGUGAUGCCCUUAGAUGUCCGGGGCCGCACGCGCGCUACACUGAAGGAAGCAGCGUGUCUUUAUCCCUGUCUGAAAAGACUGGGUAACCCGUGGAACUUCUUUCGUGAUUGGGAUAGGGGCUUGCAAUUGUUCCCCUUGAACGAGGAAUUCCCAGUAAGCGCGAGUCAUAAGCUCGCGUUGAUUACGUCCCUGCCCUUUGUACACACCGCCCGUCGCUACUACCGAUUGAAUGAUUUAGUGAGGUCUUCGGACCGAUGUCCGGCGCGGCCUUUCGGUUGCGCCGGUCUGUUGGAAAGAUGACCA
Molecule: ribosomal RNA, 1702 nt
Filed under: Rhipicephalus sanguineus (brown dog tick)
Lineage: Eukaryota; Metazoa; Arthropoda; Arachnida; Ixodida; Ixodidae
Description: SSU rRNA
Rfam family: Eukaryotic small subunit ribosomal RNA
Source: RNAcentral